GAUGAAGAACGUAGCGGAAUGCGAUAAGUAAUGUGAAUUGCAGAAUUCAGUGAAUCAUCGAAUCUUUGAACGCACAUUGCGCCCAUUAGUAUUCUAGUGGGCAUGCCUGUUCGAGCGUCAUUAAGUCCACUUAAGCCCUGCUUAGUGUUGGGAGACUGCUCCAGCGGUGCUACCCUGUAGCUACCCUGCAGCUCCUCAAAGACAGCGGCGGAGUUGUGGUAUCCUCUGAGCUUAGUAACUUGUUCUAGCUUUCGAGUACACCACUUCCCCUGCCGUAAAACCCUUAAUUUUUAAUGGUUGACCUCGGAUCAGGUAGGAAUACCCGCUGAACUUAAGCAUAUCAAUAAGCGGAGGA
Molecule: unclassified non-coding RNA, 355 nt
Filed under: soil metagenome
Description: partial contains 5.8S ribosomal RNA, internal transcribed spacer 2, and large subunit ribosomal RNA
Rfam family: 5.8S ribosomal RNA (bases 1-120)
Source: RNAcentral